Molecule: long non-coding RNA, 757 nt
Filed under: Ananas comosus (pineapple)
Lineage: Eukaryota; Viridiplantae; Streptophyta; Magnoliopsida; Poales; Bromeliaceae
Description: long non-coding RNA (ACOM_LNC011239)
Source: RNAcentral
UUGAUUGAAUAGUAUAAUCUAACGGAUGAAAAUGAUUAAAGGGUAUAUCUAACGGCUAAAACUUAUGAGUACAAUAGGCUCUAUACUCAUAAAAGUAUAGUAGCCGGACUCUAUAUAUAUAUAUAUAUAUAUAUAUAUAUAUAUAUAUAUAUAUAUAUUGUGUUAAUUAAUUUUACUUAAUAAUAAAAUAAUUAGUAUCAAAUGACUAAGAGCUUAAUAGUUGAUAUUAUCGAGAUCCUAAAAUCAAAAUUUAAUUUAUUUUAUAUUUUUAACUAAAUUUAUUUUUUAAAAAUAAACGAAAUACCAUAAGCUUGUAAAAAGCUCAAGUACGUAUCCUACAUGAUUUUGAGCCGUUGAAAGCUUCAGCGGGUACUCCACGAAAUGGAAUAUGUAAGAGCAUUGCUAGUUUGCCACCACGGGCACACAAAAGUGUACCCUAACAUUUUCUUUGUAAAAUCGACUGUCCAUAACGUAAGUGACAAAAGGCUUUAUGGUUGGUAUCCGAAAUUUAAAAUUCAAAUCUAGUUGAUUCACAUUUCUAACUAAGUUUCUUUCUAAAGAAAAUAAACGAAGCGGGUACCUCUUAAAAAAAAAAAAAGUUUAAAAUUUCGGCGGCAAAUUAAUUACCAUGGAAAAAAAAUUAAGAGGAUAUAAACGUUCCUUUUAACAUAUGUGAACAGGUGGAGGAAUCAUUACAGUAACGUUUACCGUACGCUAAUGCGUUGGAGGCGAGGACACUGGAAUUGAUUAACGUUCC